GGUAGAGCACUGUUUCGGCAAGGGGGUCAUCCCGACUUACCAACCCGAUGCAAACUGCGAAUACCGGAGAAUGUUAUCACGGGAGACACACGGCGGGUGCUAACGUCCGUCGUGAAGAGGGAAACAACCCAGACCGCCAGCUAAGGUCCCAAAGUCAUGGUUAAGUGGGAAACGAUGUGGGAAGGCCAAGACAGCCAGGAUGUUGGCUUAGAAGCAGCCAUCAUUUAAAGAAAGCGUAAUAGCUCACUGGUCGAGUCGGCCUGCGCGGAAGAUGUAACGGGGCUAAACCAUGCACCGAAGCUGCGGCAGCGACGCUUAUGCGUUGUUGGGUAGGGGAGCGUUCUGUAAGCCUGCGAAGGUGUGCUGUGAGGCAUGCUGGAGGUAUCAGAAGUGCGAAUGCUGACAUAAGUAACGAUAAAGCGGGUGAAAAGCCCGCUCGCCGGAAGACCAAGGGUUCCUGUCCAACGUUAAUCGGGGCAGGGUGAGUCGACCCCUAAGGCGAGGCCGAAAGGCGUAGUCGAUGGGAAACAGGUUAAUAUUCCUGUACUUGGUGUUACUGCGAAGGGGGGACGGAGAAGGCUAUGUUGGCCGGGCGACGGUUGUCCCGGUUUAAGCGUGUAGGCUGGUUUUCCAGGCAAAUCCGGAAAAUCAAGGCUGAGGCGUGAUGACGAGGCACUACGGUGCUGAAGCAACAAAUGCCCUGCUUCCAGGAAAAGCCUCUAAGCAUCAGGUAACAUCAAAUCGUACCCCAAACCGACACAGGUGGUCAGGUAGAGAAUACCAAGGCGCUUGAGAGAACUCGGGUGAAGGAACUAGGCAAAAUGGUGCCGUAACUUCGGGAGAAGGCACGCUGAUAUGUAGGUGAAGUCCCUCGCGGAUGGAGCUGAAAUCAGUCGAAGAUACCAGCUGGCUGCAACUGUUUAUUAAAAACACAGCACUGUGCAAACACGAAAGUGGACGUAUACGGUGUGACGCCUGCCCGGUGCCGGAAGGUUAAUUGAUGGGGUCAGCGCAAGCGAAGCUCUUGAUCGAAGCCCCGGUAAACGGCGGCCGUAACUAUAACGGUCCUAAGGUAGCGAAAUUCCUUGUCGGGUAAGUUCCGACCUGCACGAAUGGCGUAAUGAUGGCCAGGCUGUCUCCACCCGAGACUCAGUGAAAUUGAACUCGCUGUGAAGAUGCAGUGUACCCGCGGCAAGACGGAAAGACCCCGUGAACCUUUACUAUAGCUUGACACUGAACAUUGAGCCUUGAUGUGUAGGAUAGGUGGGAGGCUUUGAAGUGUGGACGCCAGUCUGCAUGGAGCCGACCUUGAAAUACCACCCUUUAAUGUUUGAUGUUCUAACGUUGACCCGUGAUCCGGGUUGCGGACAGUGUCUGGUGGGUAGUUUGACUGGGGCGGUCUCCUCCUAAAGAGUAACGGAGGAGCACGAAGGUUGGCUAAUCCUGGUCGGACAUCAGGAGGUUAGUGCAAUGGCAUAAGCCAGCUUGACUGCGAGCGUGACGGCGCGAGCAGGUGCGAAAGCAGGUCAUAGUGAUCCGGUGGUUCUGAAUGGAAGGGCCAUCGCUCAACGGAUAAAAGGUACUCCGGGGAUAACAGGCUGAUACCGCCCAAGAGUUCAUAUCGACGGCGGUGUUUGGCACCUCGAUGUCGGCUCAUCACAUCCUGGGGCUGAAGUAGGUCCCAAGGGUAUGGCUGUUCGCCAUUUAAAGUGGUACGCGAGCUGGGUUUAGAACGUCGUGAGACAGUUCGGUCCCUAUCUG
Molecule: ribosomal RNA, 1761 nt
Filed under: Escherichia coli
Lineage: Bacteria; Pseudomonadati; Pseudomonadota; Gammaproteobacteria; Enterobacterales; Enterobacteriaceae
Description: partial 23S ribosomal RNA
Rfam family: Bacterial large subunit ribosomal RNA
Source: RNAcentral